Molecule: unclassified non-coding RNA, 3044 nt
Filed under: Drosophila pseudoobscura pseudoobscura
Lineage: Eukaryota; Metazoa; Arthropoda; Insecta; Diptera; Drosophilidae
Description: GA19440
Source: RNAcentral
UUCGUUUCGUCUGGCCAUUCGCGUUUUUCCUAGAGUCGGUGCGGGCUUCGUUGCGCGGUUGAUUUACAGUUGGUCUCUCUGGCCUGCCUGCGCCUGGAUAACGCAAAAAACCCAACCAGACUGCCUGCUGCCUGCUGCCUGGCUGCCUGCCGGCAGAACAAUCCAAUUCAUUGCCAACUCUGAAUUUAGCCGGCAAUAAAACCGAAAGUGUCUGGCAGCCAGCAUUCGUCCUCCUCUUUGAUGAGCCGCCGCCACCGCAGACCCCACUCGGAUGUGAUUGGAGAGAUCUUGGCGUUUCCGCCGUGCCGUGUCCUUCCGCGUCGCUAACAAGCUGAAGUGCCCGUGACUUGAGUUUCCCAAUGCCACUAAUCGCACACGUGAAAUACUUCGUUGCGUAGACGUCGGGGCCCUAUCGACGUCCGUCCCGUCCCGUCCCGUCCACGCCCCCCCGCUUCGCCUUCACUGCGUAAAACAAUCAGAAAUCGAGUGAAAUAAAAAACCCGAAAAAGAAAAACCGCACACAAAGCAAAUAAAGAGGAGAGAGAGCCAGAACCAGUGCCAGAGCCAGAGCCAGAGCACACAGUAGAAUAUACAGAGAAAUCAGCGGAAAAUAACAUUCGAAAGCAACGGCAAAAACGAAACGAAUGAAAUCAAAACACCAAAGAAGAGUAAAGCGACGACCCACACGGAAGAAAGCAGCAGAACGACAACAACAACCACAGCAGCAGCAGCAGCAGCAACCAGAGAGAACCCCAUAGAAGGGAGCAGGGUCCACCCACUAUAUGCCCUAGUAUUGUCCGUAAACGACGAGUACUUUAUUGUGGAAUGAAGGGCGGCGGUGCCUACAUCAGCAUUGGCUCAAGCACCAGCAGCAUCAACAGCAUGGGGAGCGGCAGCGGCAGUGGCAGCGGCAGCAAGAUGACGCUGGGAAAAUCUGUUAAAAUGUACCUGACCAUAUUCAUAGCCACGACCUGCAUCUACAUGGUGCUGUAUCAGUAUCACAUGUCCCGGGAACCCUUCGCGCCCAGCGAAGUCGGAAAGCAUCAAGAGAAAUCAUCAUCAUCGUCAUAUAUCGCCUCAUAUUUGUGGUCACCCAUGUCCCUGCUAAUGGCCAAUGCAACAACAACAACAACAACCACAACAACAACGACAGUGUCUUCAACAACAACAACAACAGCAACAGUAAGCAAUGCAGGACAGGUGGGACAGGGAUCAUCCUCUGGGUCCAUCCGAACGGUUUCAUUAGCUGCCACCCGACCCACACAAGCAUCGUCAUUGGCAUCGGCAUCGGCAUCAGCGGGUGGCGCCGCCGCCCAUAAGACUGCAGCAGCAACAACAACAACCACAUCAACCACUCCCCCAGCAACAAUUACAACAACAACAACAACAACAACAAGAGCCAAUCCGAUCGCCAAAAAAGGUCCAGCAUCCACAUCCAUGUCCCAGUCCCAGCUGGACGCUGCCCAUAAAAUUCGACCAACAUUCGUUGCCGCUUCAGAGCCCCCGCCCCUGUACAUAAUCACGCCCACCUACCGGAGGCCCGAGCAGCUGGCGGAACUGACGCGCCUCGGAUACACGCUGAAGCACGUGGCCAAUCUGCUGUGGCUGGUCAUCGAGGAUGCGAACAAGACGAACCCACUGGUGGCGCACACCCUGGACCGCAUCGGGGUGCCGUACGAGUACAUGGUGGCACCCAUGCCCGAGAAGUACAAGCAGACGAAAAAGGCCAAGCCGCGCGGCGUCUCCAACAGGAAUCGGGGCCUCGAGUAUCUGCGACAACAUGCCACCGAGGGCGUGCUCUACUUUGCCGACGAUGAUAAUACCUAUGACAUUAGCAUAUUCGAGCAGAUGCGGUACAUCAGCAAGGUGGGCAUGUGGCCCGUGGGGCUCGUGACCAAAACGGGCGUCAGCAGCCCCAUUAUACGGAACGGGAAGCUAGACGGCUACUACGAUGGCUGGAUAGGGGGACGGAAGUACCCCGUGGACAUGGCCGGAUUCGCGGUGAACAUCAAGUUCCUGAGGCAGCGACCCCACGCGCAGAUGCCCUUCAAGCCGGGCUAUGAAGAGGAUGGCUUCCUGCGGAGUCUCGCGCCGUUGGAUAACGACGAAAUAGAUCUGCUGGCCGACGAGUGCCGAGAUAUCCUCACCUGGCACACGCAGACCAAGAAGAAUCCCCCCGCACAGGCGUUGAACAAGACGCGCUACAGCAACACCAAUCUGGUGCACAUAGACAAGCUGCUGGUGCGUCCGUAAGGACGUCAGACUGUAGUUAGAUAUAGAUAGAUAUAGAUAAACCCGCGCAGGGGGUCCGUUUAGGAAAGCGAGUGAGCUCACAAAGUGUCCAUGGGCUUGACCAGUUGUACAGGUACAACCUUGUGUUAAAGUCCCGAUUCCACGCUUUUAUGUGGACUGUGAACCAAUCAGAAUUGAUCAGAUCAGUAGAUCCAGUAGGUGUACAUUAUUACCAUAAUCAUACGAUACGAUAGCUAGCUCUAAGCCGCACUCUCCUACGAUACAGCCAGGCUUUGUUUGACCCCAGACACCAGACACUAGACACUAGACACGGCUCCUACUACAUGCAUACGAUGGAAAUUUAUCAGAUUUCUCGGCCACAACGAAUUGGAUCGGAUGUUCCUAAAGCUACAAGAAGAUACCCCACAAAUUGUGCAUUCAAUUCCAUCAACCUUUUCACUCAUACCCAAGAGACAACCAAUGCGCGAGGUCAAGGCCUCCUCCCCAACCACAACAACUAUUGGUAAAUAGUAAAUGGUAAAUGUUAAAUGGGGACAAGGUGUCAACUAGAAACUUAUUUCCCGGAAUGCUCCUAAGGAACACUACCCAAAAAGCAGCUCAAAUGUGGGCCGCAGCCAUUUCAAUAAUUCAUGUUGACACAGUAUGUUCUGCAGGCAGACACGAGCCGGGUGGCACAGAUACUACCACUGCGACUAUCCUACCCGUAACUCAAGGCACGGACUGGCCCCAAAGCAUACCGAGCUCUGGGUGAACCGUCGAAUCGCGUGCAUGCCAGUCGAUGCGGCGGCGGG